AGUGAACGCUGGCGGUAGGCCUAACACACGCAAGUCGAACGGCAGCACAGUAAGAGCUUGCUCUUACGGGUGGCGAGUGGCGGACGGGUGAGGAAUACAUCGGAAUCUACUUUUUCGUGGGGGAUAACGUAGGGAAACUUACGCUAAUACCGCAUACGACCUACGGGUGAAAGCAGGGGAUCUUCGGACCUUGCGCGAUUGAAUGAGCCGAUGUCGGAUUAGCUAGUUGGCGGGGUAAAGGCCCACCAAGGCGACGAUCCGUAGCUGGUCUGAGAGGAUGAUCAGCCACACUGGAACUGGGACACGGUCCAGACUCCUACGGGAGGCAGCAGUGGGGAAUAUUGGACAAUGGGCGCAAGCCUGAUCCAGCCAUACCGCGUGGGUGAAGAAGGCCUUCGGGUUGUAAAGCCCUUUUGUUGGGAAAGAAAAGCAGCAGGUUAAUACCCCGCUGUUCUGACGGUACCCAAAGAAUAAGCACCGGCUAACUUCGUG
Molecule: ribosomal RNA, 492 nt
Filed under: uncultured bacterium
Lineage: Bacteria
Description: partial 16S ribosomal RNA
Rfam family: Bacterial small subunit ribosomal RNA
Source: RNAcentral